Molecule: long non-coding RNA, 3103 nt
Organism: Orcinus orca (killer whale)
Lineage: Eukaryota; Metazoa; Chordata; Mammalia; Artiodactyla; Delphinidae
Exons: 2
Source: RefSeq, a predicted model, not a curated record
GAGUCAAGGGGAAAUAGUGCAGAAAGGGCAGAUUCCUUUAUGCCCUCAUCUCUCCCUCCCAGCCCACCCUCAAGAUAGGAAAGGGGCUUAAAGCCCUGCUCUCUCCUUGAUUCACAGCAGUUACAGGUAAGAGCUAAGCCUUGCAUACAUGUUGUCUUAUUUUAACCAAUUAUGUAAAUUCCUAUCCAGCGAGGGGGAUCCCCUUGGUGCAAGAGGGGAAGGGUAGAAACUUUUGUUUCCCAUUUUCACCCCAGGUGCCACUUUCAGGGCCACUGAGGGUAGAGAGAGGUCAGAGGAUCCCAUCUGAUGAAGGCAUGGUGGCCCCAGAGGGAAAGGUGAGGGAGAGAAACCAGGCAAAAGGGUGUAGGAAUAAGAAUAGGCACUGCUGAGAGGAUUACAUAGCGCCAGGCUUGAGUUACAAGAACCUCUUCCUUUAGUCAGAACAGUGGUUCCCAACCACGGGAUCCCAGGGAUGAUGUGGCAAUGUCUGGGGACUUUUUUGAUUGUCCUGACUGAGCAUCUAGUGGGUAGAGCACAGAGAUGCUGUUAACAUCCUAAAAUACACAGGACAGCUCCCAUAACAAAAUAUCUAGUUCAAAAUGUCAAUAGUCCCAAGGUUGAAAGUUAGAAUAUUCUGGUCCUACAUGAGUCCUCUCCUCGGUCCAUGGCAGGAGCACCAGUGAUAGGUCAAAUUACUUGAAGGGAAUACCAUGGGAUGCCAGCUUGUUACCCUGGGCCCUGAGUUCCUCUCAAACUUCCAACUCAAGUAUUUUGUUUGUUUACUCCUAACAAAAACAAAUUUAGGCUGGAGUCCCAAAUUUGCUGUAAAGUCAGCUUCUAGAGAAGAGGGCCUUGGGUAUCGGAAAAGCUGCCUGACAGAGGCCGUGCAACUGGACAAAAGGCAUGAUCUCUUGGCCAGUGUUUCACUGAACUCAAUGAUCUCAAAUGUUUCUUUAGUUCUAAACUCGGUACUUUUGGAUAAUUCUUGCAUGUAGCUGUACACAAUUUGGGUCAAUGGACAAGGAAAUGACUCAGAAACGCAAUGGACGGAAGUCUGAGGGUGUUCUCAGACUUUCCUAAUCAUAAAAGUUGCUUCAGACAUGGACUUUACCAGUUGUUUUUUUUUUAAUCUAUUUUUGGCUGCGUUGGGUCUUCGUUGCUGCACACGGGCUUUCUCUAGUUGCUGGGAGCGGGGGCUACUCUUCGUUGCAGUGCACGGGCCUCUCAUUGCAGUGGCUUCUCUUGUUGCAGAGCACGGGCUCUAGGCACGCAGGCUUCAGUAGUUGCAGCAUGCGGGCUCAGUAGUUGUGGCUUGCGGGCUCUAGAGCGCAUGCUUAGUAGUUGUGGUGCAUGGGCUUAGUUGCUCUGUGGCAUCUUCCCGGACCAGGACUCGAACCCAUGUCCCCUGCAUUGGCAGGUGGAUUCUUAACCACUGCACCACUGGGGAAGUCCCAGACCUGGACUUUAGUGUCAAACCAGGACUCAUGAUCGCUGAAUGAUUCCAGGUCUUUCCUUUGCAUAUUUGAGUAGGUGGUGUCUACGUGGGGUGAUUAAUGGUGCUGGUGAAAGACAGUUCAAGGAAUCCACCUGAUUCAGACUGGUGGCAGGAUUCCAGUGGUUAGGACAUCAUGAGGAAAGAAGUGACUCUGCCCCCUACUGGCCACUAGCAGAAAGGCUUGCGUUCCUUUUGGCUUAUUACUAGAGGUCACAUUUCUCCUUCACAGACAUGAGAGCUUGUGAAGGAAUGGAAGACUGAAAGGGAAAAGGAAAAGCAGGCUUCCUUUUUUGCUUAGCCUGUACUGAGCUUUAGGUGUCAAUAAACCAUUUAGAUCAAAUACCGCAAACCCCUUAUUUUGUGAGUCAAAACCUGAGGUGGCUGCAUCUUCUGCAUUAGCUACGGAAACAGUAGCUUGGACAGGAGUCAGGAAAAGUCCUGGUCUAAUGCCAACGUCCCUGCUCCCUCUCCGUAAAUUAGGGAAACGGGGAACCCAGACACAUCCCACAUGAAGGGCCCCUGUUCCUUAGAAACUUAGGCCCCACACUGGCUUCUCCCCUUGAAUGGUGUCUUCAGUAUUGUUUUCUUCCCUUUCCCCAAACCCCAAUAAAACACACCAACUGCUUCAGAGUAUUUCUGGGUUGGGUUUUUUUGGUGGGUCUUCUUUUGUUUUUUAUUUCAAACUGAAAAAGUUCCCUGGGCUCUGUGGGGCUCCCCACGCUCAUGGCCCCCUUCUCCCACGCUCACUGCCCUUCUUCCCGCAGCAAAUCUAUUUCAAGGACAGUAUUUUUUUUUUUAAUGCAUAAUUGAGUUCUCAGCUUGUUCUGCAGAACCAGAGGAGCUGUCUGCAUCUUUCAUAUUUAGACGGUCAGUUUCUUUUAUCUGACACCAGGUCCCCAGCCACAUCCAAGCAAGCAAGGCAUUCUUCUACAGAGCUGAAUUAGAGCCUCUCAUCUUUUGUCCAUUUUACUUCCUCCUCCUCACACCCACCCACCAGCCACAUGGUUAAGGAGGAUAGCCAAGAAUGUUUUUAUCAACUCCAAGCCCUAAUUCAUAUUCCCCCAAAUCUCCCACUCCACCCUCCCAACCCCCCACCCCACCCCCAGGAUUUCACUGAGAUGUCUCCCAACAAUUAUUUGGAGAAAAAGGAAAAACAAAAAAGGUUCAAGGUCUUGGUGCUCAGCCCAAGGGGCUCCAUGCGCUGGGACACCGACGGGCAGGGGCUUCUGCCUCUCCAGCCCGCGCCCGAGCCACCUCCUGACCCCUGGCUGCAAAAGCAGGGAGGGGCAGGAGCCAGCACAGGACCCAGGGGGGCAGCGUCUCAGGAUCUGGCGGAGCCCCGGGCAGCAUCAUUCAACUUGGCCACUGCGGACGAACACAGAAGAAAAAGAAAACACUGUCAAGCAGUAAGGGAAAGAACCCUAAGUCCCACCCCAGUCUCUACCCCAUCACUCUUCCACACUUAACAAUCAUUAGGGCUACCUGGCACAUGUCUCAAUCCUAUCCAGCGAGUUGUUUAAAAAAAAAAAAAAGAAUUUCAGUCUUUUCCUGUCUUCAAAACAAAAUGUUCUCUGUCUUUUUGGAGAUACCCAUGAAAACAAAAACAAA